This 455-nucleotide RNase P RNA is filed under the name Paludibacteraceae bacterium. RNAcentral describes it as "RNase P RNA component class A". It matches the Rfam family "Bacterial RNase P class A". Rfam says of the family: Ribonuclease P (RNase P) is a ubiquitous endoribonuclease, found in archaea, bacteria and eukarya as well as chloroplasts and mitochondria. Its best characterised activity is the generation of mature 5'-ends of tRNAs by cleaving the 5'-leader elements of precursor-tRNAs. The record is from RNAcentral. Lineage: Bacteria; Pseudomonadati; Bacteroidota; Bacteroidia; Bacteroidales; Paludibacteraceae.
AAAGCAGGUCGGCUUAUCGCUACGAUGAUGCAAGGGCGGCACAGUUCUUGCACAGGUAGAGGAAAGUCGGGGCAGCACAGAGCACCGCAGCGGUUAACGGCCGUCAGGGAGAAAUCUUUGGUCACUGCUACAGAGACGAGACCUCGCCUUCGGCAAAUGGCGCUAACAGAUGUCGCCUUGCGACAUAAAGCGCGCCAUUGCCUCGGCUCUCCCCACCACAAACACUUCGUUGGUUUGUGUCGGGGAUCCCAAAAGGGAAAAUCAGCCGACGCGAGGAGGUGAAACGAGCACACUGCGGGCUGCAAGCUCAAGUAAACCGGCGCACGAGGGCUGCUCGCCCGAGCCGGAGGGUAGAGUGCGAGAGACGUGUGUGGUAACAUACACGCAAGAUUAAUGAUAAGCGCGCGCAGGUACACCUGCGCGUACAGAACCCCGCUUACAGGCCUGCUGUCGCU